GGAGCCCGCGGACCCGCGCGUCGGGGCGCAUGCGCCACACCAGGUCCCGGGGUGCUGCCCCGACGCCAGCUGGACGGCGACACCGACGUCCCAGGAAAGGGAAGGGCGCCAUUUGAUUUCACAGCAAACGGAAACGCGGUGAUGAAGGCAGCGCCUGGCCCUCGCCUUCCCUCCACGGCUGUCCCGGGGGCGCCCUCCCCUCGCGGCCCCAGCGGGCACGCGGGCCUUCAACCGCUGAGGCCCCCGCCGCCCUUCUGGACUUUUAUCGAGGCAUCUCCUGAAACACUGCCUGGCUCAGAGUUGGUGCUUGUUAAAAUUUUGAGGAAGCAAGCAAGCACAUGGGAAGAUACCAAAACAUGGCAGUAAAAGGAGCCAAACACACAAAAGAAAAGCCUGCCAUACAAAGAAAGUUCCCAGGUGCUCAGAUUUUGGUAUCAGCGAUUGCCACCUUAUGUAUGAUGAAAUGGGACAGUCCCAGCUCUUACCCAAC
Symphalangus syndactylus (siamang) is the source of this 490-nucleotide long non-coding RNA. RefSeq lists it as uncharacterized. NCBI's taxonomy places the organism in Eukaryota, Metazoa, Chordata, Mammalia, Primates, Hylobatidae. The record is from RefSeq and is a predicted model, not a curated record.